AGGAAAAGGUACCAGAUCAUUUUUUUCCUGAUGACUAGGGACUAUCCCCUCCUUAUGCCUUGGUGUGUGGAGCACAAAGGCUGCUGGGAAAGAGGGUAGGUGAGUUUUCACAAUAAACCAAGAGGACUGUGGGAAGAAAAGGGUUAAGACCUUGACACAAUUUUUUGAGGGAGGUGGGGGUGGUGGAGACUGAAUGUUGGAAUAUUCCGAGCACAGUAAACCCUUAGAGACCAGCAGAUGGGAAAGGCCACCCAGCAAAAUCACCUAGACCCAAAGAGAAACUAACUAUGAAGUCAGGGUUUAGGUUAUCCUAUGAAAGAGCUAGUUGUGGGCAUGACGUGAAGCCGGUAGAGAGACACCCUCUGCCCACUCAACCCUGGAACUUUGGUCUAAGCCUAUGCAUGUAUUCCACACCACAGAUCAGAGAACACACGAUUCGAUCUGCCAGUGAAGCAGAUUGAAUGUUAAGACUUGUAAGGGAGCUGUUAGAAGAAAUUGCUCUCUUGCUGGUGGUGUUGAGAUACCGUGAGCCUGAAGGUAAAAAGGUACAUGAUCAGCCAGCCAGCCUUAUGGAAGCAGAACUGAGAAAUGUUUUCUACCGUUCUUUCAUCCCUUUCCUGGUUCCUUCUCAAAUAUCAUUUGCCCAGAGCAUCUGCAGACUUGAUGGAAAAGGAAUUCUCAGGACGAGUGACCAUGUAAGUGUGUUUGGUGUGGCUCCAGUAACUCAUGAGCUGCAUCUGUUUCAGGGAAUAAGGUUUCAUUCAUAGGUCACUUUUUGUAGUUCCAUUUUGAUCUUAUUCACAUCUUCUUAUAUGUUUUGUUUGAUGAAAACUGUGCCCAAGCCAGUGGAGACUUAAAACUGAUGUUGUUCAGACCUGGUUCUACUGACUUGUCUCUCCCGAUAGUGCUGUACAUGGUUGGUUGGCUACCACCGUUUAGUGGCAGUGAUGAUGGCCUUGGUAGUGGUGGCUAUAGGUUUCUUGUGGAGACCAGAAGCAGAGAGUUGGAAAUGCAUUAUUGGGUGACGCUUUAUUUUUAAAAGUAGCUGAAAUACGUUUUUGUUUUCAAGGUGCCUGAGACCAAAAGAAAUGUCCCUAGCAUCAAAUCCAUAUACAUGCAAAGAAAUCCUGUUAAUGCUUUUUGGACACAGCAGGAUUUAAGGGGAUGUGGAUUCCUGGACAAUGAAACCAAAGAUGGAAGUCUGCCCUCUGAAAUGGCCUAUGAAAGAAUGACACUCCAGUAGUGAUGACCACAUCUAAUUCCUACCAGAAGGAACUAGGACUUCUUGGAGAAAUAGGCGAUCAUCAGUCUGGAGCAGGUGAGCCUAGGAUCUCUCAUUUCAAAACAACAUUGAAAGCACUCAAAGACUGAACUUGCUGGGAUUCCCACUAGCCAAAUUUGUGAUAAUUCGAAUAUCAAAAAGAAUAAUGACUCUAAUUGAUUGUAAAGCAUUGAGCAAAUUCAAAUCUAUGAACCCAAUAAUGCUAAUCAAAAGAAUAAAACUCAUUUACCACCCUUGGAGUUAAAUCUUCCACUGAAUCUUUACUGUGAAAAUUGCUAAUUAAAGGGAAGGAAUGAAUCAUUUACUUUGUCUUUUUGGCGAGGAAAGAUAUUUCAGCUCAAAUUGAUAAUAGAAAGCUCUUUUUUUUUGUACAGAAAAAAAAAAGACAGUUAAUAAAUACAGAAGAAAGAAGGGAAUUAGAAAUCAACAUUUAUGCAACCCUCCAUGAUGUGAUUGGCUGAGGCAAGAGAUUAUUGGAGUAUGCAUAAAGUAGUAUGGAAGAAGUUGUUGGAAGGUACAAUAUUUACAUCAUACAAUUAUGGCUUUACAGGUUACUCACUGCAAAGAAGAAAAUGUACCUUUUACAGGAGAGCUAUCAGAUUACCACUUUAACCAAGGGAUCAGCCUUAAAUUACUUAGAAUGGAAUAACUUGCCCUAAUGUGCUCCUGUUGUAAUGCAAAUAUGAAAUAUAGCACAGCAUCACUCUUGAAGUAAUCUUGCCAAAAUAUCUGAAUCUAAAGAAAUCUUUUGACCUUACCUUCAGUUUACAGGAAAUGCGGGAGUUAAGCAUUCUACAAGAACACCUGGACUGAACUGUUCAAGAAGCCAAUGUUAUUAAAAUAAAAAGUAGGGAGAAGGCAGCCAUUCUAAAGUAAAAGAAACUAAAAAAACAUAGCAACCAAAACCAAAUGCAAUAUGUAAACCCUGGUUGGAUCCUUGUUUUUUUUUUUUUUUUAAAGUAUAAAAAGUAUAAUUCUAUGCAAAAUUAGGAUUGCAAAAAAAAGAUAUAAAAGGAAUUUUGUGUUUAAUUGAGGAAAUGUGAAUACAGAGUAUUAGGAAAUAUUAGGAAAAAUGUUAGUUUUCUUAGAUGAUAAUGAAUUUACAGUUUAGGAGGAAAAAAAAAAUUUUAGGUGAUGCAUGCUGAAGUAUUCAGGGAUAAAACAUCAUGGUGUCUAAAGUUUACUUUCAAAUAGUUUAUCAAAAAAAAUGUGGUACAUAAUCUAUACAUGAUAAACAUGGCAAAAUAUAAACAAAUAUUGAAUCUAAGUGGUGUGUAUACUGGUGACCACUGAACUAUCCUUUCGACUUUUCUGUAUAUUUGAACUUCAUGAUGAAAAAUUGAGGGGGAAUGCCUUAAGAGAUGUCACAAUUCUAUGAUAUAUGCUAGAUAGCUAGUUUGUGCAAACAUACCCUGAGUGACCCUGUUAAUCACUUUCUUGAAAAUGUAAAGACCCUGUCCUCCCUCCAUAUUCCCAUCAAGCAUAAUGUGCAGAGGAAUGUGUUGUUCAGUGUUCAAGGUCAGGGGCCCCAAGGGUGGCAAACCCAGAGCAUCUCCCUUUUAAUGAAAAGUGUCCAGGUGCCUGGCUUUAAUCAGCUUGGAAAUGCUGGCCAUGCAGACGGGUGGAAGUGUUGCAGGAUUUUUUACCUCAGUACCAGGGUUUGUUGUCUCACCACUCUGAAGAAUGAAGAAGUGGACACAAAAUGGGCAGCAGGCAAAACUUUAUUCACGUAUAAGAUCAGAAAGGAAGAAUAGUAUGAAAGCUCUCUUUAUAGAGAGGGGACAUUCAAAAGUGAAUGCCCUUGACCUGUAGUCAAUAACUAUAUACAUAUAGUCUAUAACUAGGGUCUUUGUUUUAUAAGCUUCUGGUCAGCCCAUCCUUCACCCUUGCCCUCCUUUCUUCCCAGGUCCUACCCUUAUAGGCUUGAUAACUCUAGGUGCUGGGUUGUCCAUUCUGAUUGGCUCGAUUUCAUUGUACGAGGGGUGGGUGGUCUAUGGCCAUAUCAUUCUUUGUGGGUCAUACAUGUUAUGGCCUACUACUUGUUUUUAGUCUUUAGUAAAAUUCUUGUGGGAAACCUGAAGGGGAGUAGGUGGUAUCUGUUACAUUCUUAAGGGGAACUUUACGCCUGAGAGGGUUUGCUGUGGUCAGACACUCCCAGCCUUGGUGUUUUUCCCACCCAGGGAUCUCAGGUCCUAAUCUUUCCCUCUCUGUCUACUGAAGCCUAUCUUUUCCUAUCAUAGAAGGGCCACUGAUAGUUGCUUGGUUAAGUUGCUAUGCUAUAAAAACUGGCUGCAGAGGAUUCUUUGUCUAGUCAGCUGCUCCUGGAGUCCCUGUAUAUAAGUUCCCCCUAAUUGUCCUAUGUCUUUAUUACUGUCUGGGGGUCUUUUCUUUGGCCUCUCUGGACCAUCACUCACCUGAGGCUUAGAGUCUGCUGGGCUGUGUCUCUCCAAUAUAUGGCCCUAAAAUGUAUACUGAAUUAGAUAAAACAUUUGUUUAUUAAUUUACCAUUUGGGGAAGGUUAAUGAUGACAAAAAUUAGUUUUUAAAUUAUUUUAUCUAUAAUGAAGUUUAAAUUCUCUUAUAGUUCCAAAGGGUUAUGAUAAUUCAAGACCUACAGUAUUGGUGAAGUUUUGGGGUAAUGGGGGGUUUGUAGAGUCCGGAGCCAAUGGCCAAGAAAGAAUUCUUGAAGACAUCUGUAGUGCAAAAUGGUGAUUUUAUUAAAGCAUGGGAACAGGACCCUUGGGCAGGAAGAGCUACACUGGGGUCAUGAUAGGUAACUCAUUAUAUACCCUCAGGUUGGGAGGGGGUCAGGGAUUGAGUAAAUCUCUAAGGUAUUUUGGAAGGAAGAUUUCCAGGACCUUGAGGGGCUAGCUGUUGGUAGGGAAACAUCAUUUAUCACCAUUUAAUCAAACCUGUCAUGAGACCCUUCAGAUGCAUGUGGUGGUGCAGGGACAUAAACUUGGAGCAUGAUUCUGGGGCAGUUGAGAUAAAGGAAGUAGACUUACAGGAUCCUCAAGAUUGGGACAAUGUUAAGCCAAGUUUCUCUUUUGCCCCUAGCAAAGUGUCAUCCUUGAGGCAGCUGAGCUCCUAGAGGGAGGUCACUCUGCUGGUCUCAAGGACUUGUCAAUAGGCUAUAGGCAGUAAGAGAAUUUAAUUUUUCAUUUGCCUUAGUUUCCCACAUUACCAUGGCAAGGACUUAAACCCCUUUCUUUUGUUCUUGGGUGGCUAGGAGUGUCCAAGGAAUAUCACACAGAUCCCACCUGGGGUGCGGUGGGGUGCUAGCUUCUGUUUUUGCCCCUCAGUCUGCCUCAUGCUCCCUUAUCAGUAUGGUAUGGUCAGUUUGGCCUGAGUGGACAUCUGGUUAGUGACAAAACAUCCAGAGUGGUUGGCUCACAUCUGCCAACUGAAUGCAAUAAGUCUCUGCUAAAGGGUUUCACUUAAGGUGGACACUUGAAAGAUAUCACGCGUGGACAUCCUAUGAGUGCUACAAGAGAACAGUAAAAGAUAAGAUAUCCUUUAGGCAUUAUUAAAAGGCCUAUAGGAGGUGAGGGUGCACUUUUGUGAUAUGCUAGGAUGAUAACUAGAUCACUAGGUAAUAACUCAAGAAAUCUUUGUUUACCUAGCCUUGUGAUAGCUAUCUGUAUAGAAAUAUGAAACUUGAUAUAUUUAGUACAUUUGGUGUAAUGUAUUUCUCCUGUAAACCCAAAUAAUCUGAUUUUAUUUUCAUAAAUUACAUAUAAUAAGAAAACUGUCAAUUCUGUAGAAUCAACCAGUUUACAACAUACUUUUAUAUACAGUGAAGAAGGCAAUGAAAAAUUUUUAAUCUCAUUUUAUACAUGAAGCAACAGGUACAGAGACUAAAUUAUUUGCCUAAAGCCAAUGGCUAAUAAAUACAGAAGCUGAAACUUGGGUAAGCCCUACAAAUUCCCCCUCUUCCUUCUCUUAAACAACUGAAUCCCAUCAAACUCAUGCGUCCUUGACAAUCCAGGCUAGGGUUCAGGUUGACUAGUGAUGAGGGGAGAACCUACACUUCACAAUAAUGAAUUCUCUUAGCCUCAUGUGCUUUACAGGGUAAGACAUGGCCAAGUAUAUGUUACAGGUUGCAAGUGGCUGUUUGCUCAUGGAGAUAUAUUUUUAGCUUCUUUUUAUUUUAAUGAUGCUGGAUGACUCAAUUUCUUUUCAUUUCAUAUGAGAAGCGUGGUGAUAUUUUCCUGUUUUACUUCACUUGGAUAUAAAACACCUUAAUGAGCUGUGAUGCUGGGUGGGCUAGUCUGCCUUUGUUUGCUUCUGAACUUCCACCGAAUGCUUGGCCCCAGUAGAGCUUUCUCAGUUCAUCGCUCUUUUUAAGGAACUGUUAGAGGAGCCUGAGGGCUCUUGAACUUUUGAUGCCAAUGGGUAGUGAGACACUCUCUUGGCUUAAUAGGUUCUUUCCAUAAUUGCUAGACUGUAUUUGUUUUUCAAUACCGGCAGGCAGAGAUAUCCUGGGGGGGGGGAUCUUUGGGUAUAAUGCAGAAAACAGUUUUUUCUUGCUUGUUUUAGUUCUGUUGCUUUGUCAUUGUUGUUGUUUUACCAUUUCAAUUUACUAUCUGUGCAUAAAACACUUAGUGUGUUUAGCUAAUGUAUUAGAAUGGAAGCUGAAUGAGUAUUUUCAAUUUUGUCUUUCCUUAACAGACCAUGAUUUUCCAGACCAAGAAUUCUGUAACAGAUUAAGUCAGGGGUUCAUCUUUGUAUCUGCUUUAUUUACAGAUUGAACACAUUCACCCCAUUGUAAUAUCCACCUAUGACUCACUUGUAGUUUAUGUGUGUGUGUGUGCACCCACACACACUCAUGUGCACAUGUACUAUCUAGUUUACUUCAUAGACUAAGAUCUUUGAUUCACUUGUGGUUUUUAGUUUUAAUUUUUUUUAACACUUAUUUAACAGAGCGCAAGUGGGGAAGGGUAGUGAGAGAAGGAGGCACAGAAUCUGAAGCAGGAUCCAGGCUCUGAGCUGUCAGCACAGAUCCCAAAGCUGGGCUCAAACCCACGACCCAUGAGGUCAGGACCUGUGCCAAACUCAGAUACUUAACCGACUGAGCCACCCAGGUGCCCCUGGUUUUUAGUUUUAAAAGAGUAGCUGCUCAAGUAUAAUUUCUCUUUUAAAAGUAAACAAAUUAAGUUUAAAAGCCUAUCGGUAUAUGUAAUAUUUUUACUUGUUUUUUGCCAAAAGAGAUAAUUUCUUCUCUAAUUGUUCUAACAAACAGUGUGAAGACUGCUCUUACAAAGGAAGUAGUUGACAAGAAUUACAUGUGUGUGUGUGAAGAGAGCCAAUUUUUUGAUAGCAGACUUUUAAAAAAAUUAUAGUCUAUAUUAACAAAGUGAAAUUAUGAUAGGGAAAGAUAGGAUAAAAUAGUCAGAGAGGGAAAGUUAGGACCUGAGAUCUCUGGGUGGGGAAAAACACAUAUUUUAAAAAAUGCUGGGAGCAUCUGACUAGGAGCAAACUUCCUCAGGCUUAAGGUUCAUCUUAAAAAUCUAAUGAACACCACCUACUUCUCCUCAGGUUCCCCUCAGGAUUUUGACAAUCAAAAUACCUAACUAAAAUAGAUAAACCAUAAAACUCAUGUUGUAAAAGGGACAGUAUGACCAUAGUCUGAUUCCUCACACAAUGAAAUCAGCCAGUCAAGAAUGGACAACCCAGAACCUAGAGUUAUCAAACCAAUAAGGGUAGGACCUGAGAAGGAAUGAGGGGGAAGGGAAGCGAGGGUGACCAAAAUCCUAUAAAACAAAGUCCCUUGCCUAUAGUCCACAGAUAUUCACUUUCGAAUGCCCCCACUCUGCAAAGAGAGUUUCCAUACUAUUCUUCCUUUCUGAUCUUAUACUCUAAUAAACUUUCGCCUGCUGCUCAUUUUA
Long non-coding RNA from Felis catus (domestic cat), 7169 nucleotides. RefSeq lists it as uncharacterized. The record is from RefSeq and is a predicted model, not a curated record. The transcript has 3 exons. Lineage: Eukaryota; Metazoa; Chordata; Mammalia; Carnivora; Felidae.